CCUACGGGUGGCAGCAGUGAGGAAUAUUGGUCAAUGGACGAGAGUCUGAACCAGCCAAGUAGCGUGAAGGAUGACUGCCCUAUGGGUUGUAAACUUCUUUUAUAUAGGAAUAAAACAGGGUAUGCAUGCCCUCUUGUAUGUACCAUAUUAAUAAGGAUCGGCUAACUCCGUGCCAGCAGCCGCGGUAAUACGGGGGAUCCGAGCGUUAUCCGGAUUUAUUGGUUUUACAGGGAGCGUAGGUGGAUUGUUAAGUCAGUUGUGAAAGUUUGCGGCUCAACCGUAAAAUUGCAGUUGAAACUGGCAGUCUUGAGUACAGUAGAGGUGGGCGGAAGACGUGGUGUAGCGGUGAAAUGCUUAGACAUCACGAAGAACUCCGAGUGCGAAGGCAGCUCACUGGACUGCAACUGACACUGAUGCUCGAAAGUGUGGGUAUCAAACAGGAGUAGACACCCUGGUAGCC
This 460-nucleotide ribosomal RNA is filed under the name uncultured bacterium. Its description in RNAcentral is "partial 16S ribosomal RNA". It matches the Rfam family "Bacterial small subunit ribosomal RNA", at positions 338 to 795 of the family's 1533-position model. The record is from RNAcentral.